AAGCAACACAUGUAUUCUCCUACAGUAUUCUCCUACAGUAUUCCCCUACAGUAUUCUCCUACAGUAUUCUCCUACAUGUAUUCUCCUACAGUAUUCCCCUACAGUAUUCUCCUACAUUAUUCUCCUACAGUAUUCCCCUACAGUAUUCUCCUACAUGUAUUCCCCUACAGUAUUCUCCUACAGAUUUCUCCUACAGUAUUCUACAUGUAUUCUCCUACAGUAUUCUCCUACAGUAUUCUCCUACAGUAUUCUCCUACAUGUAUUCUCCUACAGUAUUCUCCUACAGUAUUCCCCUACAGUAUUCUCCUACAUUAUUCUCCUACAGUAUUCUCCUACAUGUAUUCUCCUAC
Molecule: long non-coding RNA, 350 nt
Organism: Symphalangus syndactylus (siamang)
Lineage: Eukaryota; Metazoa; Chordata; Mammalia; Primates; Hylobatidae
Source: RefSeq, a predicted model, not a curated record